Molecule: ribosomal RNA, 472 nt
Filed under: uncultured organism
Description: partial 16S ribosomal RNA
Rfam family: Bacterial small subunit ribosomal RNA
Source: RNAcentral
CACUCCUACGGGAGGCAGCAGUGGGGAAUUUUGGACAAUGGGCGAAAGCCUGAUCCAGCAAUGCCGCGUGAGUGAAGAAGGCCUUCGGGUUGUAAAGCUCUUUUGUCAGGGAAGAAACGGUGAAAGCUAAUAUCUUUUGCUAAUGACGGUACCUGAAGAAUAAGCACCGGCUAACUACGUGCCAGCAGCCGCGGUAAUAAGUAGGGUGCAAGCGUUAAUCGGAAUUACUGGGCGUAAAGCGUGCGCAGGCGGUUUUGUAAGUCUGAUGUGAAAUCCCCGGGCUCAACCUGGGAAUUGCAUUGGAGACUGCAAGGCUAGAAUCUGGCAGAGGGGGAUAGAAUUCCACGUGUAGCAGUGAAAUGCGUAGGUAUGUGGGGGAACACCGAUGGCGAAGGCAGCCCCCUGGGUCAAGAUUGACGCUCAUGCACGAAAGCGUGGGGAGCAAACAGGAUUAGAUACCCGUGUAGUCCCA